Molecule: long non-coding RNA, 408 nt
Filed under: Pelobates cultripes (western spadefoot toad)
Lineage: Eukaryota; Metazoa; Chordata; Amphibia; Anura; Pelobatidae
Source: RNAcentral
UAUGGCUCCCAGUGAUGGGAAAUGUAGUCCCAGUCAGUCAGUGCGGAUUGUUACUCCAGGUGCUGUGGCUCCCAGUGAUGGGAAAUGUAGUCCCAGUCAGUCAGUGCGGAUUGUUACUCCAGGUGCUGUGGCUCCCAGUGAUGGGAAAUGUAGCCCCAGACAGUGCGGAUUGUUACUCCGUGCGCUAUGGCUCCCAGUGAUGGGAAAUGUAGUCCCAGACAGUCAGUGCGGAUUGUUACUCCGUGCGCUAUGGCUCCCAGUGAUGGGAAAUGUAGUCCCAGUCAGUCAGUGCGGAUUGAUACUCCAUGUGCUAUGGCUCCCAGUGAUGGGAAAUGUAGUCCCAGACAGUCAGUGCGGAUUGUUACUCCGUGCGCUAUGGCUCCCAGUGAUGGGAAAUGUAGUCCCAGA